AUGGUCAAGGAUUUGAAAGUCAUCUUUGGAAAGGGUCCUGGCGGACAAUUAGUUCCGAAGGGAGCUGACGGGCACGCAGCCAUGUGGAAGAAGAAAUCUAUAUUCUGGGAGCUAGAAUAUUGGAAAGUCCUAGAUGUCCGCUCUGCAAUCGACGUGAUGCACGUUACGAAGAAUAUUUGCGUGAACCUCCUAAGCUUCUUGGGCGUGUAUGGGAAGACAAAUGAUACAAAGGAAGCACGGCAGGACCAGCAACGUUUGAAAGACCCUGAUGACCGGCAUCCGGAAUGGUUUCAAGGUCGUGCCAGCUACGCUCUGACCAAAGAAGAGAAGGUCAUCUUUUUUGAAUGCCUGAGCAGUAUGAAGGUCCCGUCUGGAUUCUCGUCCAAUAUAAAGGGAAUAAUAAACAUGGCGGAGAAAAAGUUCCAAAACCUGAAGUCUCACGACUGCCACGUGAUUAUGACGCAAUUGCUUCCGAUUGCUUUGAGGGGGCUCCUGCCGGAAAAUGUUCAAGUAGCCAUUGUGAAGCUAUGUGCAUUCCUCAAUGCAAUCUCUCAGAAGGUAAUCAAUCCAGAAGUUCUACCACGGUUACAGAACGAUGUGAUCCAAUGCCUUGUCAGUUUCGAGUUGGUGUUCCCGCCAUCCUUCUUCAAUAUUAUGACGCACCUCCUGGUUCACCUAGUCGAAGAGAUUUUCGUUCUCGGUCCUGUAUUUCUACACAAUAUGUUCCCCUUCGAGAGGUUCAUGGGAGUAUUAAAGAAAUAUGUUCGUAACCGUGCUAGGCCAGAAGGAAGCAUCGCCAAGGGCUAUGGAAAUGAGGAGGUAAUUGAGUUUUGUGUUGACUUUGUUCCUGACCUUAAGCCGAUUGGUCUUCCUCGAUCGCGGCACGAGGGGAGACUAAGUGGAAAAGGCACGAUCGGAAGGAAAUCAACGAUAUGUAUGGACGGCCAUUCUCUGACUGAAGCACACCACACUGUACUGACCAAUUCCAGCUUGGUGGCUCCGUACUUUGAGAAACACAAGAAUAUUUUACGCUCGGACAACCCGGGGAAGCCUGAAUCCUGGAUUAGGAAAGCCCACAUGGAGACUUUCGGCAGUUGGUUGAGAAAACAUUUAAUGAAUGACAAUGAUGUUGUAGAUCAGCUGUACAUGUUGGCCAAGACACCAUCUUCGACUAUAACGACUUUCCAAGGGUACGAGAUAAAUGGGAAUACAUUUUACACGAUCGCCCAAGAUAAAAAGAGCACCAACCAAAACAGUGGUGUCCGCUUUGAUGCAGCAACCGAGAAUGGGCAAAAGGUCACAUAUUAUGGUUACAUAGAGGAGAUAUGGGAACUUGACUAUGGACCCUCCUUUAAGGUCCCUUUGUUCCGGUGCAAAUGGUUCAAGCUAACAGGAGGUGGGGUAAAGGUGGACCAGCAAUACGGAAUGACAAUGGUGGAUUUCAACAAUCUUGGUUACCUUGACGAACCAUUCGUCCUAGCGAAAGAUGUCGCUCAGGUUUUCUAUGUGAAGGACAUGAGUAGCAAACCAAGGAAACGGAAAGAUAAGAAAACGAUCAGUGCAUCAUGCGAUGAUCCAAAGCGCCACAUUGUUCUUUCAGGGAAAAGAAACAUCGUGGGAGUGGAGGACAAGACAGACAUGUCAGAAGAUUAUAAUAUGUUUGCUGAAAUUCCGCCCUUCAAAGUGAACACCGACCCAAGCAUUAAGUUAAAUGAUGAGGAUGCUCCAUGGAUACGGCACAAUCGUAAGCAAGCAGGGACACAAGGGAAGAAAUGA
This 1776-nucleotide ribosomal RNA is filed under the name Triticum aestivum (bread wheat). RNAcentral's name for it is "partial small subunit ribosomal RNA". Lineage: Eukaryota; Viridiplantae; Streptophyta; Magnoliopsida; Poales; Poaceae. The record is from RNAcentral.